This 958-nucleotide ribosomal RNA is filed under the name uncultured beta proteobacterium. RNAcentral describes it as "bacterial SSU rRNA". It matches the Rfam family "Bacterial small subunit ribosomal RNA", at positions 8 to 967 of the family's 1533-position model. The record is from RNAcentral. Lineage: Bacteria; Pseudomonadati; Pseudomonadota; Betaproteobacteria.
AGAGUUUGAUCCUGGCUCAGAUUGAACGCUGAUGCCUUACACAUGCAAGUCGAACGGCAGCGGACCUUCGGGUGCCGGCGAGUGGCGAACGGGUGAGUAAAGUAUCGGAACGUACCUUUCAGUGGGGGAUAACGUAGCGAAAGUUACGCUAAUACCGCAUAUUCUCUGAGGAGGAAAGCAGGGGACCUUCGGGCCUUGCGCUGAUUGAGCGGCCGAUAUCAGAUUAGCUAGUUGGUGGGGUAAAGGCCUACCAAGGCGACGAUCUGUAGCGGGUCUGAGAGGAUGAUCCGCCACACUGGAACUGAGACACGGUCCAGACUCCUACGGGAGGCAGCAGUGGGGAAUUUUGGACAAUGGGCGCAAGCCUGAUCCAGCCAUGCCGCGUGAGUGAAGAAGGCCUUCGGGUUGUAAAGCUCUUUCGGCCGGGAAGAAAUCGCAUCGGUUAAUACCCGAUGUGGAUGACGGUACCGGAAUAAGAAGCACCGGCUAACUACGUGCCAGCAGCCGCGGUAAUACGUAGGGUGCGAGCGUUAAUCGGAAUUACUGGGCGUAAAGCGUGCGCAGGCGGUUUUGUAAGACAGGCGUGAAAUCCCCGGGCUCAACCUGGGAACUGCGCUUGUGACUGCAAGGCUAGAGUAUGGCAGAGGGGGGUGGAAUUCCACGUGUAGCAGUGAAAUGCGUAGAGAUGUGGAGGAACACCGAUGGCGAAAGCAGCCCCCUGGGCCAAUACUGACGCUCAUGCACGAAAGCGUGGGUAGCAAACAGGAUUAGAUACCCUGGUAGUCCACGCCCUAAACGAUGUCAACUAGGUGUUGGGAGGGUAAAACCUUUUAGUACCGGAGCUAACGCGUGAAGUUGACCGCCUGGGGAGUACGGCCGCAAGGUUAAAACUCAAAGGAAUUGACGGGGACCCGCACAAGCGGUGGAUGAUGGUGGAUUAAUUCGAUGCACGCGAAAA